This 77-nucleotide transfer RNA is filed under the name Bacillota bacterium. RNAcentral's name for it is "tRNA-Pro(cgg)". It matches the Rfam family "tRNA". From Rfam's summary of the family: Transfer RNA (tRNA) molecules are approximately 80 nucleotides in length. Their secondary structure includes four short double-helical elements and three loops (D, anti-codon, and T loops). Lineage: Bacteria; Bacillati; Bacillota. The record is from RNAcentral. RNAcentral also lists the same sequence under 2 other names.
CGGGAUGUGGCGCAGCUUGGUAGCGCGAUUGCUUCGGGAGUAAUAGGCCGCAGGUUCAAAUCCUGUCAUCCCGACCA